This 253-nucleotide ribosomal RNA is filed under the name uncultured bacterium. RNAcentral describes it as "partial 16S ribosomal RNA". It matches the Rfam family "Bacterial small subunit ribosomal RNA", at positions 524 to 776 of the family's 1533-position model. The record is from RNAcentral.
UACGAAGGGUGCAAGCGUUAAUCGGAAUUACUGGGCGUAAAGGGUGCGUAGGCGGUUCGUUAAGUCUGUUGUGAAAACUCGGGGCUUAACCCCGGGCCUGCAGUGGGUACGGGCAGACUAGAGUGCGGUAGGGGAGACUGGAAUUCCUGGUGUAGCGGUGGAAUGCGCAGAUAUCAGGAGGAACACCGGUGGCGAAGGCGGGUCUCUGGGCAGUAACUGACGCUGAGGAGCGAAAGCGUGGGGAGCGAACAGG